RNAcentral lists this ribosomal RNA (335 nucleotides) under uncultured Nitrospira sp. RNAcentral describes it as "bacterial SSU rRNA". It matches the Rfam family "Bacterial small subunit ribosomal RNA", at positions 335 to 672 of the family's 1533-position model. The record is from RNAcentral. Lineage: Bacteria; Pseudomonadati; Nitrospirota; Nitrospiria; Nitrospirales; Nitrospiraceae.
ACUCCUACGGGAGGCAGCAGUAAGGAAUAUUGCGCAAUGGGCGAAAGCCUGACGCAGCGACGCCGCGUGGGGGAUGAAGGUCUUCGGAUUGUAAACCCCUUUCGGGAGGGAAGAUGGAGCGAGCAAUCGUUCGGACGGUACCUCCAGAAGCAGCCACGGCCAACUUCGUGCCAGCAGCCGCGGUAAUACGAAGGUGGCAAGCGUUGUUCGGAUUCACUGGGCGUACAGGGUGUGUAGGCGGUUUGGUAAGCCUUCAGUUAAAGCUUCGGGCCCANCCCUNAANGCGCAGAGGGUACUGCCAGGCUAGAGGGUGGGAGAGGAGCGCGGAAUUCCCG